AGGCUACUGCUAUCAGAGUUCGAUUAAGCCAUGUUAGUCGAGGGUGCUUCUUCCUCUUCGGGGGAAGCGGUAACCCGGCGGACGGCUCAGUAACACGUGGACAACUUGUCCUUUGGACCGGGAUAACCCCUGGGAAACUGGGGCUAAUACCGGAUAGAGCAUUGACCGCUGGAAUGCGCGAUGCUCGAAAGCUGAGGCGCCAAAGGAUAGGUCUGCGGCCGAUUAGGUUGUUGUUGAUGUAACGGAUCAACAAGCCUUCGAUCGGUAUGGGUUGUGAGAGCAAAAGCCCAGAGAUGGGUUCUGAGAGAAGAACCCAGGUCCUACGGGACGCAUCAGGCGCGAAAACUUUACAAUGUGCGAAAGCACGAUAAGGGAACUCUGAGUGCCUCCAAAGGAGGCUGUUCAGGUGUUUAAAAAGCAUCUGAAGUAAGGGCUGGGUAAGACCGGUGCCAGCCGCCGCGGUAACACCGGCAGCCCAAGUGGUGGCCACUUUUACUGGGUCUAAAGCGUUCGUAGCCGGCUAUGUAAGUUCCUUGGGAAAUUUGACCGCUUAACGGUUAAGCUUCCAGGGAAUACUGCUUGGCUUGGGACCGGGAGAGGUCAGAGGUACCUCAAGGGUAGGGGUGAAAUCCGUUAAUCCUUGGGGGACCGCCAGUAGCGAAGGCGUCUGACCAGACCGGAUCCGACGGUGAGGGACGAAGGCUAGGGUAGCGAACCGGAUUAGAUACCCGGGUAGUCCUAGCUGUAAACGAUGCGGGCUAGGUGUUGGCAUUACUGCGAGUGAUGCCAGUGCCGAAGGGAAGCCGUUAAGCCCGCCAUCUGGGGAGUACGGUCGCAAGGCUGAAACUUAAAGGAAUUGGCGGGGGAGCACUACAACGGGUGGAGCCUGCGGUUC
Molecule: ribosomal RNA, 895 nt
Filed under: uncultured euryarchaeote
Lineage: Archaea; Methanobacteriati; Methanobacteriota
Description: bacterial SSU rRNA
Rfam family: Archaeal small subunit ribosomal RNA
Source: RNAcentral